This 418-nucleotide ribosomal RNA is filed under the name uncultured bacterium. Its description in RNAcentral is "bacterial SSU rRNA". It matches the Rfam family "Bacterial small subunit ribosomal RNA", at positions 355 to 773 of the family's 1533-position model. The record is from RNAcentral.
UGGGGAAUCUUGCGCAAUGGCCGAAAGGCUGACGCAGCGACGCCGCGUGUGGGAGGACGCCUUUCGGGGUGUAAACCACUGUUGCCCGGGACGAACACCUAGUUUCGACUAGGCUGACGGUACCGGGUGAGGAAGCACCGGCUAACUCCGUGCCAGCAGCCGCGGUAAUACGGAGGGUGCGAGCGUUGUCCGGAAUCAUUGGGCGUAAAGGGCGCGUAGGUGGCGGGAUAAGCGUGCGGUGAAAGCUUGGGGCUCAACCCCGAGUCGGCCGUGCGAACUAUCUUGCUUGAGCACUGUAGAGGCAGGCGGAAUUCCGGGUGUAGCGGUGGAAUGCGUAGAGAUCCGGAAGAACACCGGUGGCGAAGGCGGCCUGCUGGGCAGUAGCUGACACUGAGGCGCGACAGCGUGGGGAGCAAAC